RNAcentral lists this ribosomal RNA (397 nucleotides) under uncultured bacterium. Its description in RNAcentral is "partial 16S ribosomal RNA". It matches the Rfam family "Bacterial small subunit ribosomal RNA", at positions 360 to 774 of the family's 1533-position model. The record is from RNAcentral.
AAUAUUGCACAAUGGAGGAAACUCUGAUGCAGCGACGCCGCGUGAGUGAAGAAGGUCUUCGGAUCGUAAAACUCUGUCCUUGGUGAAGAUAAUGACAGUACCUUAAGAGGAAGCCCCGGCUAACUACGUGCCAGCAGCCGCGGUAAUACGUAGGGGGCGAGCGUUGCCCGGAUUUACUGGGUGUAAAGGGCGCGCAGGCGGUUUUGUAAGUCAGCUGUGAAAGUCCAGGGCUUAACCCUGGAAUUGCAGUUGAAACUACCAAACUUGAGAUAAGGAGAGGAGAGCGGAAUUCCUAGUGUAGCGGUGAAAUGCGUAGAUAUUAGGAAGAACACCAGUGGCGAAGGCGGCUCUCUGGCCUUACCCUGACGCUGAGGCGCGAAAGCGUGGGUAGCGAACA